CAGUCGCCGCGGGAAUACGUAGGGUGCAAGCGUUAAUCGGAAUUACUGGGCGUAAAGCGUGCGCAGGCGGUUUUGUAAGACAGAGGUGAAAUCCCCGGGCUCAACCUGGGAACUGCAUUUGUGACUGGCGGGCUAGAGUAUGGCAGAGGGGGGUAGAAUUCCACGUGUAGCAGUGAAAUGCGUAGGGAUGUGGAGGAAUACCGAUGGCGAAGGCAGCCCCCUGGGCCAAUACUGACGCUCAUGCACGAAAGCGUGGGGAGCAAACAGGAUUAGAGACCCGUGUAGUCCCUGUCUCUUAUAC
RNAcentral lists this ribosomal RNA (301 nucleotides) under uncultured bacterium. RNAcentral's name for it is "partial 16S ribosomal RNA". It matches the Rfam family "Bacterial small subunit ribosomal RNA", at positions 509 to 807 of the family's 1533-position model. The record is from RNAcentral.